This 416-nucleotide ribosomal RNA is filed under the name uncultured bacterium. RNAcentral describes it as "bacterial SSU rRNA". It matches the Rfam family "Bacterial small subunit ribosomal RNA", at positions 356 to 769 of the family's 1533-position model. The record is from RNAcentral.
AAGGAAUAUUGGACAAUGGAGGCAACUCUGAUCCAGCCAUGCCGCGUGAAGGAAUAAGGCCCUAUGGGUUGUAAACUUCUUUUCGACGGGACAAAACCCCUUUACGUGUACAGGGUUGAUGGUACUGUCAGAAUAAGCACCGGCUAACUCCGUGCCAGCAGCCGCGGUAAUACGGAGGGUGCAAGCGUUAUCCGGAUUCACUGGGUUUAAAGGGUGCGUAGGUGGGCAGAUAAGUCAGUGGUGAAAUCUUCCGGCUUAACCGGGACACUGCCGUUGUUACUAUUUGUCUUGAAUAUUGCGGAGGUAAGCGGAAUAUGUCAUGUAGCGGUGAAAUGCGUAGAUAUGACAUAGAACACCGAUUGCGAAGGCAGCUUACUACACAAUCAUUGACACUGAGGCACGAAAGCGUGGGUAGC